UUGGGGUAGAGGGUUGGGGUAUUGUAGGACUGAGGCUGGGUAAAGGGUUGGGGUAUCAUAGGACUGAGGCUGGGUAAAGGGUUGGGGUAGAGGGUUGGGGUAUUGUAGGACUGAGGCUGGGUAGAGGGUUGGGGUAUCAUAGGACUGAGGCUGGGUAAAGGGUUGGGGUAGAGGGUUGGGGUAUUGUAGGACUGAGGCUGGGUAAAGGGUUGGGGUAGAGGGUUGGGGUAUUGUAGGACUGAGGCUGGGUAAAGGGUUGGGGUAGAGGUAUUAUAGGACUGAGACUGGGUAAAGGGUUGGGGUAUUGUAGGACUGAGGCUGGGUAAAGGGUUGGGGUAGAGGGUUGGGGUAUUAUAGGACUGAGGCUGGGUAAAGGGUUGGGGUAGAGGGUUGGGGUAUUGUAGGACUGAGGCUGGGUAAAGGAUUGGGGUAUCAUAGGACUGAGGCUGGGUAAAGGGUUGGGGUAUCAUAGGACUGAGGCUGGGUAAAGGGUUGGGGUAGAGGGUUGGGAUAUUGUAGGACUGAGGCUGGGUAAAGGGUUGGGGUAGAGGGUUGGGGUAUUAUAGGACUGAGGCUGGGUAAAGGGUUGGGGUAGAGGGUUGGGGUAUUGUAGGACUGAGGCUGGGUAAAGGGUUGGGGUAUCAUAGGACUGAGGCUGGGUAAAGGGUUGGGGUAUCAUAGGACUGAGGCUGGGUAAAGGGUUGGGGUAGAGAGUUGGGGUAUUAUAGGACUGAGACUGGGUAAAGGGUUGGGGUAUUGUAGGACUGAAGCUGGGUAAAGGGUUGGGGUAUUAUAGGACUGAGACUGGAUAAAGGGUUGGGGUAUUGUAGGACUGAGGCUGGGUAAAGGGUUGGGGUAUUGUAGGACUGAGGCUGGGUAAAGGGUUGGGGUAUUAUAGGACUGAGGCUGGGUAAAGGGUUGGGGUAGAGGGUUGGGGUAUUGUAGGACUGAGGCUGGGUAAAGGGUUGGGGUAGAGGGUUGGGGUAUUAUAGGACUGAGACUGGGUAAAGGGUUGGGGUAUUGUAGGACUGAGGCUGGGUAAAGGAUUGGGGUAUCAUAGGACUGAGGCUGGGUAAAGGGUUGGGGUAUUGUAGGACUGAGGCUGGGUAAACAACACACGUCUGUUGUAUGACUGCACACACACACACACACACGUCUGUUGUAUGACUGCACACACACACACGUCUGUUGUAUGACCUCACACGGCCGGGCGCUUGACACUGAGGAGAUACCACAUAUGUAAAUGAUGUGUUAAUUUUAAUAUCAGCUGUGAAAGGACUCCGGGCCAUCCCCUCUACCCUGCACCUCCCCC
Molecule: long non-coding RNA, 1312 nt
Organism: Oncorhynchus tshawytscha (Chinook salmon)
Lineage: Eukaryota; Metazoa; Chordata; Actinopteri; Salmoniformes; Salmonidae
Source: Ensembl